AUACGGAGGGGGCUAGCGUUGUUCGGAAUUACUGGGCGUAAAGCGCGCGUAGGCGGCUUAUCAAGUUAGGCGUGAAAGGCCUGGGCUCAACCUGGGGACUGCCUUUGAAACUGAUAGUCUAGAGACCGGGAGAGGAUGGCGGAAUUCCCAGUGUAGAGGUGAAAUUCGUAGAUAUUGGGAAGAACACCGGUGGCGAAGGCGGCCAUCUGGUCCGGUUCUGACGCUGAGGCGCGAAAGCGUGGGGAGCAAACAGGAUUAGAUACCCCAGUAGUCC
RNAcentral lists this ribosomal RNA (274 nucleotides) under uncultured bacterium. Its description in RNAcentral is "partial 16S ribosomal RNA". It matches the Rfam family "Bacterial small subunit ribosomal RNA", at positions 523 to 796 of the family's 1533-position model. The record is from RNAcentral.